AAGUCGUAACAAGGUUUCCGUAGGUGAACCUGCGGAAGGAUCAUUGUGGAGAGUUGGGAGAGUGUGUUGGAAUGUGGGUUUGAUAUCAAGUGACAAAAUAACUACCUAUACAAUAACUAGCCACCUGGGAUCUCUGGGCUCUU
This 143-nucleotide unclassified non-coding RNA is filed under the name fungal sp. RNAcentral describes it as "partial internal transcribed spacer region". The stretch from base 1 to 46 matches the Rfam family "Eukaryotic small subunit ribosomal RNA", at positions 1786 to 1831 of the family's 1831-position model. Lineage: Eukaryota; Fungi. The record is from RNAcentral.